Molecule: transfer RNA, 55 nt
Filed under: Albugo candida
Lineage: Eukaryota; Oomycota; Peronosporomycetes; Albuginales; Albuginaceae
Rfam family: tRNA
About the family: Transfer RNA (tRNA) molecules are approximately 80 nucleotides in length. Their secondary structure includes four short double-helical elements and three loops (D, anti-codon, and T loops).
Source: Rfam by way of RNAcentral
AAGGAAUUAGCUCAAUGGUAGAGCAACCGUUUUACACACGGCAGGUUAGGUGUUC